CCAGUUACAAAAUUACUACCUACUUUUUAUUUACUACAGAAAAUUGGCCAGUAUCUGAACUACACCAGAAAACAGCUUAAAAUAGCACCAAACAAAAGCUUAAA
Gavialis gangeticus (Gharial) is the source of this 104-nucleotide long non-coding RNA. RefSeq lists it as uncharacterized. The record is from RefSeq and is a predicted model, not a curated record. Lineage: Eukaryota; Metazoa; Chordata; Crocodylia; Gavialidae. The transcript is spliced from 3 exons.